Molecule: long non-coding RNA, 707 nt
Organism: Rhipicephalus sanguineus (brown dog tick)
Lineage: Eukaryota; Metazoa; Arthropoda; Arachnida; Ixodida; Ixodidae
Exons: 4
Source: RefSeq, a predicted model, not a curated record
ACACUGUAGGGGACGGCCGCCAUUUCUUUUGUAUGAUUUCUUGGUAACGCGAAGCGGGCUUUUCAACAACUUCCUCUUCGAGAACUGCGUACCUGGCUUCACGCUCCGUAGAGGUUCUACACGACUGGAGAUCCCGUGUCUGACUUGCGGCCGUGGACGAGCUCCUUGUCUGAGUAUUACUUGACCAAGAUGAGCUAUGCUAUUGUGGAGUUCACUGCCUCUAAAGAGGUUGAAAUUGUGCCAACUACUUGGGUCACCGGGAGCGUGUGCGUCUGGCCGCAUAAUGUAAAAGCAGAGAAGGCUGGGAAAAUGGCAAAGAAGCAGCAUCCACCACAGUCAUGGUGGAAGCAGUAUGAAAUUGCUGUGAAAGGUUUGUUCGUUACCUAUGAACAUGCCCGGAAAAAGCUAAAUGACAGUCAGUUCCAUUCAGACCUGGCCAGUGAAACUGAAAUGCCUCCAUUGAAGAGGCGUAGACGGCCACCAGCAGUCUGGAGUGACUCUGACAGUGAAGAGGAGGAGGAAGACUCUGCCACAAGCCAGCCAGGACUGCCACCUAUCCCAAAUAAUUUUCCAUCUGGAAUAACCUCGAGUGAAGCAACAAGUAUGCCCACAUUUGGCCAGGGAGACAAAGGCACAGCAGGUAUUCUCACACAUAUACAGCUGUCUCGUUACAAAAUUACGAUUUACGUGCGUAUUUAUUAUUUUUU